GUCCUUUGGAUCUCUCCGAUGAUCUUCCUCGACUUCUGGGUGCUUUGGAAUGUUUGGGUGGUAACCCUGGCUCUUCAGGGGCUUUAGUCCUCAAUCCCUCAAUGUCGUCCUGACUCUCCGAAGAUCCGCUGGUUGCGAUGGCUACAUCUAAAGAAGUCCUGUGAGUUGGACGAAUGUGUCAGAGGAGCACUUCAGAUUUUAUGG
RNAcentral lists this long non-coding RNA (204 nucleotides) under Elaeis guineensis (African oil palm). RNAcentral's name for it is "long non-coding RNA (EGUI_LNC026369)". Lineage: Eukaryota; Viridiplantae; Streptophyta; Magnoliopsida; Arecales; Arecaceae. The record is from RNAcentral.